Molecule: ribosomal RNA, 253 nt
Filed under: uncultured bacterium
Lineage: Bacteria
Description: partial 16S ribosomal RNA
Rfam family: Bacterial small subunit ribosomal RNA
Source: RNAcentral
UACGAAGGGGGCUAGCGUUGUUCGGAAUUACUGGGCGUAAAGCGCACGUAGGCGGACUAUUAAGUCAGGGAUGAAAUCCCGGGGCUCAACCCCGGAACUGCCUUUGAUACUGGUAGUCUCGAGUCCGGAAGAGGUGAGUGGAAUUCCGAGUGUAGAGGUGAAAUUCGUAGAUAUUCGGAGGAACACCAGUGGCGAAGGCGGCUCACUGGUCCGGUACUGACGCUGAGGUGCGAAAGCGUGGGGAGCAAACAGG